GUUUCCUGAUCUUUUAAAACAUAUGUUUCAGGAUUCCGGGUCAUUCCAGGAACCCAGACUUCCACGCCUGUCUUUACUUCUUGUUUCUUCGUGGGACCAUUUUCAGAACCAGGGCCAGCUUUCUGUCGAGGCAUCAUGUGAAGACAGGGCGAGAGUACAGUAAAUUUUCUCGGAAAAAUGCUAAGCUCCCCUCUUUUGCUCUUUCCUGGGUAACCACAAAUACCAACAAUAUCACCACGCUUUACACUAGAAUGAUAUCGAGAAAAUUCAGCUUCAUCCAAGUCUGAGUCCCUUGCAUCAGCCAUGACUUGAACUUUAGCACCACCACCAUACAAAUCAUAGAAAUAAAGCUUUGACGAUGAUGUCCUCUUGUUCAUAAUCCUCCCAGCCAAUUUAACUUUCAGCUCCUUAACAUGCACCCCAUCCCCCAGCCCACCAUACUCCUUCACAAACUCCGGCACCGAAACCGAUACGUCAAACUUAUGUGGAUACGGAUUCUCCCCCGCCGCCUUCAGCGAGGCAAGCACUUUCAGCCGAUUCUCAAAAUAUUGCGUCGGAUCCAUGUCAUCGUCGUCUCCGGCCUGCGGCUUCUGCGACCGUGAACUCUCCCCGGCGGCGGCGGUCUUCUUCUUCUCCUCUUCUUUGGCCCGCCUCUCGGCCUCCUUCUGCUGCAGCUUUAGCAGCUUCUUCUGAGCGUUCUUGCUGAGGGAAUCGGGUGCGGAUGGAUCGAUUGAGAGAUCGGAGAUGCUGGGCUCGGCGGCGCCUGCGGGAUCGGCCAUUGGAGGGAGACGGUGGAGUAGGCGGCGAGUGGCG
This 813-nucleotide unclassified non-coding RNA is filed under the name Hevea brasiliensis (rubber tree). The record is from RNAcentral. Lineage: Eukaryota; Viridiplantae; Streptophyta; Magnoliopsida; Malpighiales; Euphorbiaceae.